Deltaproteobacteria bacterium GWC2_65_14 is the source of this 112-nucleotide non-coding RNA. The record is from Rfam. NCBI's taxonomy places the organism in Bacteria, Deltaproteobacteria.
CGCAUAUGAGGCAACCGCACCUGGGCGAGAAGGCAAUAAGAUUCAAAGCCCGAUAGUCAUCCGGAAGGGGCGGGAGUAGAUGCGACGGGUAUAUGGGGGGAAGGUGGGUGCG